RNAcentral lists this long non-coding RNA (250 nucleotides) under Physcomitrium patens. RNAcentral describes it as "long non-coding RNA (PPAT_LNC011185)". Lineage: Eukaryota; Viridiplantae; Streptophyta; Bryopsida; Funariales; Funariaceae. The record is from RNAcentral.
ACUCCUCAUUUUGUGAUUACGUCGUUUCUUUGGACAAUAUUGAGCAGUCUGCUUUGGUUCUCCACAAUAUAAACAUAAUCGUUCUUGACGACGAUGAAUCUUUUCUUGCUCAAUAAGAGGUUUGAAACGUACUACAUCAAUUUGCAUAUCCUCUACUUUUGAAUGUAUGUGUUGAAGAGAUGUUGGUGUUGCCAUUGAAUUAUAGUAACGUUGAGGUCGGUUCUCAGAUCAAAAUUCAAAAAGAUGAUUG